CAGGAAAUAGUUUAAGUAAAAUUUUAAUUUUGGGGAUUAAUGAUAGGUAUUACCUUUUCCUGA
Molecule: transfer RNA, 63 nt
Filed under: Truljalia hibinonis
Lineage: Eukaryota; Metazoa; Arthropoda; Insecta; Orthoptera; Gryllidae
Description: tRNA-Pro
Source: RNAcentral